GAUGAACGCUGGCGGCGUGCCUAAUACAUGCAAGUCGAGCGAACAGACGAGGAGCUUGCUCCUCUGACGUUAGCGGCGGACGGGUGAGUAACACGUGGAUAACCUACCUAUAAGACUGGGAUAACUUCGGGAAACCGGCGCUAAUACCGGAUAAUAUAUUGAACCGCAUGGUUCAAUAGUGAGAGACGGCUUUGGUGUCACUUAUAGAUGGAUCCGCGCCGCAUUAGCUAGUUGGUAAGGUAACGGCUUACCAAGGCAACGAUGCGUAGCCGACCUGAGAGGGUGAUCGGCCACACUGGAACUGAGACACGGUCCAGACUCCUACGGGAGGCAGCAGUAGGGAAUCUUCCGCAAUGGGCGAAAGCCUUACGGAGCAACGCCGCGUGAGUUAUGAAGAUCUUCGGAUCGGAAAACUCUGUUAUUAGGGAAGAACAAAUGUGUAAGUAACUAUGCACGUCUUGACGGUACCUAGUCAGAAAGCCACGGCUAACUACGUG
RNAcentral lists this ribosomal RNA (497 nucleotides) under uncultured bacterium. Its description in RNAcentral is "partial 16S ribosomal RNA". It matches the Rfam family "Bacterial small subunit ribosomal RNA", at positions 28 to 507 of the family's 1533-position model. The record is from RNAcentral.